Molecule: long non-coding RNA, 2204 nt
Organism: Oreochromis aureus
Lineage: Eukaryota; Metazoa; Chordata; Actinopteri; Cichliformes; Cichlidae
Source: Ensembl
CACAGGUCCUGUUUUUUGCCGGUGUAUUUUGGAUGUACUGAAUUAACCUACAAUGACUCCAUUAACAUUAUUAUGUCUCUGUGUGGCUCUGCUGUUUGCUGAUUUGGCGUCUUCAGAACAGAAAACCGUCACAGCUAAGUCUGGACAGAAGAAUGUCACUCUGACAUGUGGAGCUCUAAACAAAAACAUCAUAGUUGUAGAGUGGAGCAGAGAAGGCUUGGAGCCAGAAUUUGUCCUUGUUUACCGAGGUGGGCAGUUUGUUCCAGAUGAGCAGCAUCCAUCUUUUAAGAAGCGGGUGGAUCUGCAGGACAAACAGAUGAAGGAUGGAGACGUGUCUUUGAUUCUGAAGGAUGUGACGAUUAAUGAUAAUGGAACAUACAAGUGUCAUGUCAAGAGAGAGGGAGAGAGUAUGAAACUCAUCAGCAUCAUCUAUCUGAGAGUUGAUCCUCCAGCCAGAACACACAAAGGAUGGAGGGAAGAAGGGUAUCCCUGUUGGACAGGAAAUCGGUCUGUAAUUUAUCGGUGGGAUUGUCUCAGAUUUUAUUUUGUGUUCAGUGAAGGUGAAGUUGCUUCCUGGUUGUUGGACUCUACCUGAUUGCUGACACAUCUCCUGUUUCUCCUGCAGGUCACACAAAAUAUGGAUGUAAGGGACAGAUGAUUUUUGUGUAUGGUUCUGGUUUGUUUCUUCUUUUUCUUCUUCUUGUCCUUGUCACUGCUGCUCCUGUUUGUGAUUGGACUUUCAUCUCCAGAAAAUUAAGUCGGGGGUCUCCAGAUAAAACUCACCAGGUUUAAAAACACUAUUUAAAAACUGAUGUUGGUUCAAAAAGAUGAAGAAACAGAUUAGGUGGUCUAAUUCAUGAUGGUUUCACACUACAUAACAUUUUGAUGAUGGAACAACCAGAACAGAGGUCGGCAGCAAAACCAAUGAAGGUUUAAAAAACUCUUAGGACUCUAACACUCAAAAUAUGAAAGCAGAAAUAUGAAUGGAUUUAUUAAAUAUCUUAAAGGUAUUGCACAAAAAAUCAGUUUAUUCUGAGGGGCUCAGCUGAGACUAACUCAAAAUAUAUUUAUCUAUUUGCUGCUGUCCUCAUAUAGAGACGAUACUUUUUAAACUUUCUGCACUUUAUAUAAGUCUUUGGUGAGCAGGUUUUGCCUUUUUUAUGUUAGGCCAUAAAAGCAUUGUCUCCAUAUGAGGACAUGGUUUAAAAAACAAACUUGUGCUUACCAGGUCCAUCUAAAUCCAAAUAAUCAGGAUCAAAUAAUAAUUCAUCCUAAACUAGAGCUCAGGAGGUUAAACUGAGUCAGACCAACUGUGUUGAUGAAGAGAUCAACUUUAAUCCUGCAGAACUACAGUCACAAUGCAGGUUUUCAACAGGAUGAAACCAAAGAGUUUUGUGUGAGUUUUAUAAAUUUGGGAUGUUAAAUGAUGCAAAAUAUGUUUGAGUUUAAAUACUGAAUAAACUCAGUUAAAGCAAGAUUUUGACAGAUGUAUAUAAACUUGGUUAAAAUGAUUUUAUAUAAAGUAGGAGUGUAGGAAGGCUUUAUAACAAAAUUUGUUGAUGGAUUCAUGAUAAGCUGCUGCUGUCUGAGCCACAAUCUGAUUGUUUUAUUUUAAACAAAAACAUGUGAUUUGUAAUAAAGAGAUUUGUUAUCCAGGGGUUCACUUUCUGUGUGAUCUACAGUGCUGUGAAACAGUACAUGUCUCCUAAGCUGAAUAACUGGUUUUGCGAGUGUGUUGGCAGCAACAGCAACAAUCAAGUCAACAAUCAAUGAUCAAUGCUGAUCUUUGGAGGCCUGUUUCACUACACUUUUCUGACCAUGAAGACCAUGAAGACCACUGUGCCACGUGUUCUCCAUAUGUGGAUAACGACUCUCAUCAUACUUCACUGGAGUCCCAAAGUCUCGGAAAUGAAUCUGUGACCUUCCCAGUCUGAUAGAUGUCAGUGACUUUGUUUCUCAGCUCUUCUGUAGAUCGUGGUUUGAUGUGUUGCUUUUGGACGUUUUUCUCCUGCUUCACUUUGUCAGACUCAUUCUACUCCAGUGACUCUUGAUUCAGCAGGUCUGUCAGAUUCGUGUCUAUGUUCACUGUUGGCAUCCAAUAAAGACAAAAUGCCAAAAUAUAAUAUCCAAAAUUAAUGUUUGAUGUUAUGAGAAAAUAAAGUGUGACAAAUAUGCAAGUAAGUAAGAAAUCAGUGAGGAGGCUG